AUAAACCAAACCUUCCUUCUCAUUGUUGACUAGGAAAUAGGGAUUACGAAAGCUUCAUCUUUUUCACACCCUGCUCUACUCACUCAUGGCUCUGAAAUCGUUCAUUGAAGUUCACCCUGACUCUCAUUUCCCCAUACAGAACCUACCUUACGGUGUCUUCAAGCCCCAACCAGGUUCUUCACCUCGACCCGGCGUAGCCAUAGGCGACUACGUCCUUGACCUCUCUGAAAUCGCUUCUGCUGCUCUCUUCAAUGGUCCUCUCCUCAACAACUCUGAUUGCUUCCACCAGCCUAAUCUAAAUAAGUUUGUAUCCCUUGGAAGGCCAGCGUGGAAGGAAGCUCGCGCUACUCUUCAAAAGCUCCUUUCAGCAACUGAGCCAACCUUGAGGGACAAUGCUACUUUGAGGGAGAAAUCACUUGUGCCUAUGAGCCGUGUGGAAUUGCUUCUUCCUGUUCAGAUUGGAGACUACACUGACUUCUUUUCAUCUUUGCAUCACACUAAAAAUUGUGGCCUCAUAUUUCGCGGGUCACAGAAUCCUGUCCUAGAAAAUUGGUAUCACCUACCCGUUGCCUAUCAUGGACGAGCAUCUUCUGUUGUUAUAUCUGGAACUGAUAUUGUUCGACCAAGAGGUCAAGCUCAUCCAACACCUGGAUCUCCACCUUACUUUGGUCCUUCUCGAAAGCUAGAUUUUGAGUUGGAAAUGGCUACUAUUGUUGGACCUGGAAAUGAUUUGGGGAAACCUGUGGAUAUCAACAACGCAGCAGAUCAUAUCUUUGGUGUUGUUCUAAUGAAUGACUGGAGUGCUCGGGAUAUUCAGGCAUGGGAAUAUAUUCCUCUUGGCCCUUUUCUUGGCAAGAAUUUCGGCACAACAAUAUCACCUUGGAUUGUGACCCUAGAAGCAUUAGAACCUUUUGCGUGUGAAGCCCCAAAACAGGAUCCUCCUCCACUUCCAUAUUUGACUGAAAAAGUAUCCAAAAACUAUGAUGUUGCACUUGAGGUUCACAUUAAACCAGCUGAGCAUGAGAAGCCAAGUGUGGUGACACGGAGUAAUCUCAAGCACUUAUAUUGGACAUUGACUCAACAGCUUGCUCACCAUACCAUCAACGGUUGCAAUCUGAGACCAGGAGAUCUCCUUGGAACUGGGACAAUUAGUGGUCCUGAGCAAGAGUCCCGUGGAUGCUUGCUGGAGUUAACCUGGAAUGGACAAAACACACUGUCAUUGAAUGGGGUAGAUCGGAAAUUUCUUGAAGAUGGAGAUGAAGUCACCUUCACUGGAUAUUGCAAGGGAGAUGGUUACACAAUUGGGUUCGGCAAGUGCUCCGGCAGGAUAAUUCCAUCAGCUCCCUGAGGACGCCAUUGUUGUUGCAUGCUUUUCUGCAGCUAAGAGUAGUUGAACUGUUGAAGAUCCAAAUCUGAUGUGAUUCAUUUUGCAACAGCGGACCUUAUGACUUCAUCUCAUAUUGUGCUACUAGAGGGCUGCACGCCAACCCCUCAAGGCUCGUGUCUAUUGUAAAUGGAAUAAUACCAUGGUGUAUUGUAAUUUUUAAUAAAAAAUGAAAAUUGUUUUUUUACAAAAUGAAAAUUAUCAAGGGAAAAAAAUGUGCAUUGC
This is an RNA transcript of Arachis stenosperma, 1609 nucleotides long. It is a transcript of the gene named fumarylacetoacetase, with no coding region annotated. The record is from RefSeq and is a predicted model, not a curated record. NCBI's taxonomy places the organism in Eukaryota, Viridiplantae, Streptophyta, Magnoliopsida, Fabales, Fabaceae. The transcript is spliced from 15 exons.